AAUUGAAGAGUUUGAUCCGGUACCACCUGACUCCAUUCCGAACUCAGAAGUGAAACGUAUUAGCGCCGAUGGUAGUGUGGGGUUUCCCCAUGUGAGAGUAGGACACUGC
RNAcentral lists this ribosomal RNA (109 nucleotides) under Alteromonas mediterranea. Lineage: Bacteria; Pseudomonadati; Pseudomonadota; Gammaproteobacteria; Alteromonadales; Alteromonadaceae. The record is from RNAcentral.